This 497-nucleotide ribosomal RNA is filed under the name uncultured bacterium. Its description in RNAcentral is "partial 16S ribosomal RNA". It matches the Rfam family "Bacterial small subunit ribosomal RNA", at positions 28 to 507 of the family's 1533-position model. The record is from RNAcentral.
GAUGAACGCUGGCGGCGUGCCUAAUACAUGCAAGUCGAGCGAACGGACGAGAAGCUUGCUUCUCUGAUGUUAGCGGCGGACGGGUGAGUAACACGUGGAUAACCUACCUAUAAGACUGGGAUAACUUCGGGAAACCGGAGCUAAUACCGGAUAAUAUUUUGAACCGCAUGGUUCAAAAGUGAAAGACGGUCUUUCUGUCACUUAUAGAUGGAUCCGCGCUGCAUUAGCUAGUUGGUAAGGUAGCGGCUUACCAAGGCAACGAUGCAUAGCCGCCCUGAGAGGGUGAUCGGCCACACUGGAACUGAGACACGGUCCAGACUCCUACGGGAGGCAGCAGUAGGGAAUCUUCCGCAAUGGGCGAAAGCCUGACGGAGCAGCGCCGCGUGAGUGAUGAAGGUCUUCGGAUCGUAAAACUCUGUUAUUAGGGAAGAACAUAUGUGUAAGUAACUGUGCACAUCUUGACGGUACCUAAUCAGAAAGCCACGGCUAACUACGUG